GACGAACGCUGGCGGCGUGCUUAACACAUGCAAGUCGAACGGAAAGACCCUGCUUUUGUGGGGUGCUCGAGUGGCGAACGGGUGAGUAACACGUGUGUAACCUGCCCUUGUCUUUGGGAUAACUUCAGGAAACUGGGGCUAAUACCGGAUAGGAUCUCCUGCUGCAUGGUGGUGGUUGGAAAGUGUCGGCGGUUGGGGAUGGACUGGCGGGUUAUCAGCUUGUUGGUGGGGUAGUGGAUUACCAAGGCUUUGAAGGGUAGGCCGCCUGAGAGGUGGGACAGGCACCAUGGUACUACGAGAGGGCGCAGAAUGCAACGUGACGCAGCGGGGGAGAGCAUUGCGCAACGGGGGGACGCCUGAUGCAGAGAUGCCGGGAGCGUGAUGACGGGCUACUGGUUGUAAACAGCUUUCGCAGGUGACGAGGCGUGAGUGACGGUAAUGGGUAAAGAAGCACCGGCUAACUACGUG
Molecule: ribosomal RNA, 468 nt
Filed under: uncultured bacterium
Lineage: Bacteria
Description: partial 16S ribosomal RNA
Rfam family: Bacterial small subunit ribosomal RNA
Source: RNAcentral